AUCCUUCGAUGUCGGCUCUU
This 20-nucleotide non-coding RNA is filed under the name Arabidopsis thaliana (thale cress). RNAcentral also lists the same sequence under 3 other names. The record is from RNAcentral. Lineage: Eukaryota; Viridiplantae; Streptophyta; Magnoliopsida; Brassicales; Brassicaceae.